UUUCAGGAAUCACUGAAAAACUAUUUGCAACUUAAUAAUCGGAAUUUGAGGAAUCAUUUUAUUGCUUCACUGAAUAACUGUUUGCAAUUCAUUGAUCGAUAAGAAAGAUGUUUAAUGUAUACGUAACCGAUGACAUAUUUUAUUCGUAUUUACAUACAGAAGGAAUUCAGGAAUAUUUCUUAUUUGGU
Molecule: long non-coding RNA, 188 nt
Organism: Drosophila sulfurigaster albostrigata
Lineage: Eukaryota; Metazoa; Arthropoda; Insecta; Diptera; Drosophilidae
Exons: 3
Source: RefSeq, a predicted model, not a curated record